ACCUGCCCAGAAGCGGGGGAUAACACCUGGAAACAGAUGCUAAUACCGCAUAACAACUUGGACCGCAUGGUCCGAGCUUGAAAGAUGGCUUCGGCUAUCACUUUUGGAUGGUCCCGCGGCGUAUUAGCUAGAUGGUGGGGUAACGGCUCACCAUGGCAAUGAUACGUAGCCGACCUGAGAGGGUAAUCGGCCACAUUGGGACUGAGACACGGCCCAAACUCCUACGGGAGGCAGCAGUAGGGAAUCUUCCACAAUGGACGAAAGUCUGAUGGAGCAACGCCGCGUGAGUGAAGAAGGGUUUCGGCUCGUAAAACUCUGUUGUUAAAGAAGAACAUAUCUGAGAGUAACUGUUCAGGUAUUGACGGUAUUUAACCAGAAAGCCACGGCUAACUACGUGCCAGCAGCCGCGGUAAUACGUAGGUGGCAAGCGUUGUCCGGAUUUAUUGGGCGUAAAGCGAGCGCAGGCGGUUUUUUAAGUCUGAUGUGAAAGCCUUCGGCUCAACCGAAGAAGUGCAUCGGAAACUGGGGAAACUUGAGUGCAGAAGAGGACAGUGGAACUCCAUGUGUAGCGGUGAAAUGCGUAGAUAUAUGGAAAGAACACCAGUGGCGAAGGCGGCUGUCUGGUCUGUAACUGACGCUGAGGCUCGAAAGUAUGGGUAGCAAACAGGAUUAGAUACCCUGGUAGUCCAUACCGUAAACGAUGAAUGCUAAGUGUUGG
This 718-nucleotide ribosomal RNA is filed under the name uncultured bacterium. RNAcentral describes it as "bacterial SSU rRNA". It matches the Rfam family "Bacterial small subunit ribosomal RNA", at positions 124 to 826 of the family's 1533-position model. The record is from RNAcentral.